This 492-nucleotide ribosomal RNA is filed under the name uncultured bacterium. RNAcentral describes it as "partial 16S ribosomal RNA". It matches the Rfam family "Bacterial small subunit ribosomal RNA", at positions 29 to 507 of the family's 1533-position model. The record is from RNAcentral.
AGUGAACGCUGGCGGUAGGCCUAACACAUGCAAGUCGAACGGCAGCACAGUAAGAGCUUGCUCUUACGGGUGGCGAGUGGCGGACGGGUGAGGAAUACAUCGGCAUCUACUUUUUCGUGGGGGAUAACGUAGGGAAACUUACGCUAAUACCGCAUACGACCUACGGGUGAAAGCAGGGGAUCUUCGGACCUUGCGCGAUUGAAUGAGCGGAUGUCGGAUUAGUUAGUUGGCGGGGUAAAGGCCCACCAAGCCGACGAUCCGUAGCUGGUCUGAGAGGAUGAUCAGGCACACUGGAACGGAGACACGAUCCAGACCACAAUGGGAGGCAGCGGUGGGGAAUAGUGGACAAUGGGCGCAAGCCGGAUCCAGCCAAGCCGCGUGGGUGAAGAAGGCCUGCGGGUUGUAAAGCUCUUUUGUUGGGAAAGAAAAGCAGCAGGUUAAUACCCCGCUGUUCUGACGGUACCCAAAGAAUAAGCACCGGCUAACUUCGUG